GAUGAACGCUAGCGGCAGGCUUAAUACAUGCAAGUCGUGGGGCAGCAUGAGUAGCAAUACUUGAUGGCGACCGGCAAACGGGUGAGGAACACGUACACAACCUUCCUUCAAGCGGGGAAUAGCCCAGAGAAAUUUGGAUUAAUACCCCAUAAUAUAUUUGAUAAGGCAUCUUAUUAAUAUUAAAGCUUCGGCACCUUGAUGAUGGGUGUGCGGCUGAUUAGAUAGUUGGCGGGGUAACGGCCCACCAAGUCUACGAUCAGUAGCUGAUGUGAGAGCAUGAUCAGCCACACGGGCACUGAGACACGGGCCCGACUCCUACGGGAGGCAGCAGUAAGGAAUAUUGGACAAUGGACGAAAGUCUGAUCCAGCCAUGCCGCGUGAAGGAUUAAAGGUCCUCUGGAUUGUAAACUUCUUUAUAUGGGACGAAAAAAGGGCAUUCUUGUUCACUUGACGGUACCAUAUGAAUAAGCACCGGCUAACUCCGUGCCAGCA
This 492-nucleotide ribosomal RNA is filed under the name uncultured bacterium. RNAcentral's name for it is "bacterial SSU rRNA". It matches the Rfam family "Bacterial small subunit ribosomal RNA", at positions 28 to 513 of the family's 1533-position model. The record is from RNAcentral.